Non-coding RNA from Pimephales promelas (fathead minnow), 1230 nucleotides. The record is from RefSeq and is a predicted model, not a curated record. Lineage: Eukaryota; Metazoa; Chordata; Actinopteri; Cypriniformes; Leuciscidae.
UGCUUGGAGUGCAGCACUACAGCAGUCCUUUGUGAAGCCUGUCUGAGGAGGACUCACCACAAUUCAUUGCACAUCCCUGAUAAAUGGAAUAAUUCUUCUUAUGAACCAUCCUAUCAGGGGCUAUUCAUGUAUUUACCCGAGGGCCAUGAAAACCAUGCUGUGUACAGGAAAGAUAUAAAAGUCAUUGUCAACACAGGACGUCUCUGCACCAUCCUUGUAGAUAUGUGCGAGUGUGAACCUGAAGCCUGCACUCUUUGAUAUCCCACUUUAGGCAUCACCGCUUCCGACAAAGGAGUUUGGUGGAUAUUUGCCCUCAGUUUGAUGAUGGGACCACGUGCCCAGCAUGUCCAAAGGUGGACGGAGAUAUGAUAGUAACUCUGGACAUUAAGAGUCUAAAUGAUGUGCAGAAAAUUGUGGAGAACAUAAUUGCUGUGAAUGCUGAAUCAUCAAAGAAUCAAAAUAUGAACACAAAUAGCCAUUGUGAGGACAAGGACCCAAGGUCUAACUGAGACCUGUAUAUACCUGGGUGUGUAUAUCUGUAUUUGGUUUACGGUGCUUGUAUAUCUAUGUAUUUUUCUAUUUUUGGUUUUUGGACAUGUGUUUGUAUUUUUUUUCUCUCUUUUCUUCCAAGACUUGAGUGCUUGUAUUAGAUUGAAUAAUUGUUGCACCACACCCACCUAGGCCUGUGGCCAAUUUCUUUAAUGAUGACUCUUUUAGGUCUGUUUGUUGUUGUCAUUGACUGUUUGACUCUGAAGAAGACGCAUGUGCGUCAAAACGUUAGUCAUUGUUGACCAAUAAAUACAUUAAAAAAAUUCUGUGCUCCGGUCCUGCUCCUUGGUCUCAGUUAGACCUUGGGACCUUGUCCUCAGAUUGUUGUGUCCUGUUCCGAGAGCAUGGGGUAGGCUGAAGCGCAAGUGAUUCCUUUCGAUUGUUCUACAAAUAGCCAUUGUGUUCUGCUCCAUUCGCACUCGUGGUUAAUAAUCCUUAAAUCUACAACAACAAUACCACUUAUCAAAUCAAAUUAAAGGCAGGACAGACACGCAUCCAGAGUACAGUAACAUGCAAUGCUUGGACCCGUCUGGGGGAGGGACCAAUGCCAACUGUUUUUGAUUGACAUAUGACCAUUCAAUCAUUUUUUCAUCCUUGUGAAAUGACUGCUUGGUGUUUUUCAGUCCUGUAUGUUCACCAGGUUACUAAACGUUGUUCUUUUGUGCUGGAUCAUCUAAUUAA